UGGGGAAUAUUGCACAAUGGGGGAAACCCUGAUGCAGCGACGCCGCGUGAGCGAAGAAGGUUUUCGAAUCGUAAAGCUCUGUCCUAUGAGAAGAUAAUGACGGUAUCAUAGGAGGAAGCCCCGGCUAAAUACGUGCCAGCAGCCGCGGUAAUACGUAUGGGGCGAGCGUUGUCCGGAAUUAUUGGGCGUAAAGGGUACGUAGGCGGUCUAUUUAGUCAGGUGUGAAAGCGUGAGGCUUAACCUCAUUAAGCACUUGAAACUGAUAGACUUGAGUGAAGGAGAGGAAAGUGGAAUUCCUAGUGUAGCGGUGAAAUGCGUAGAUAUUAGGAGGAAUACCGGUGGCGAAGGCGACUUUCUGGACUUUUACUGACGCUCAGGUACGAAAGCGUGGGGAGCAAACAGG
RNAcentral lists this ribosomal RNA (403 nucleotides) under Verrucomicrobiota bacterium. RNAcentral's name for it is "Verrucomicrobia bacterium partial 16S ribosomal RNA". It matches the Rfam family "Bacterial small subunit ribosomal RNA", at positions 355 to 776 of the family's 1533-position model. The record is from RNAcentral. Lineage: Bacteria; Pseudomonadati; Verrucomicrobiota.